GUUAGCGUAGCAAAAUCUGGCAUUGCAGAAGACCUAAGCCCUUCGCGCAGAGAUUCAAAUUCUCUCACUAACU
RNAcentral lists this transfer RNA (73 nucleotides) under Fritziana cf. fissilis CTMZ 01563. Its description in RNAcentral is "tRNA-Leu". Lineage: Eukaryota; Metazoa; Chordata; Amphibia; Anura; Hemiphractidae. The record is from RNAcentral.